UCAUAUCUUCAGGGUGGGGUGCAAUUCCCAAUCGGCGGUUAAAGUCCGCGAGCCGAAAGGCAUGAACCGGUGUGAUUCCGGUACCGACGGUUAUAGUCCGGAUGGAAGAAGAUGAUU
This 117-nucleotide non-coding RNA is filed under the name Pseudoramibacter alactolyticus. Its description in RNAcentral is "FMN sequence". It matches the Rfam family "FMN riboswitch aptamer (RFN element)". Rfam says of the family: The RFN element is a highly conserved domain that is found frequently in the 5'-untranslated regions of prokaryotic mRNAs that encode for flavin mononucleotide (FMN) biosynthesis and transport proteins. This element is a metabolite-dependent riboswitch that directly binds FMN in the absence of proteins. The record is from RNAcentral. Lineage: Bacteria; Bacillati; Bacillota; Clostridia; Eubacteriales; Eubacteriaceae. RNAcentral also lists the same sequence under 1 other name.